RNAcentral lists this long non-coding RNA (1555 nucleotides) under Dasypus novemcinctus (nine-banded armadillo). Its description in RNAcentral is "lncRNA (ENSDNOG00000050351.1)". The record is from RNAcentral. Lineage: Eukaryota; Metazoa; Chordata; Mammalia; Cingulata; Dasypodidae.
GGGGGGGUGGGUGGGGAGAGGUGGGGAAGAGGGGGAGGGAGGAGGAGGAAGAGCGCCGCAGCCUCGGCAGCUGGAGUCGGAGCAGGGGGGGACGGUUUCAAAAAAUAAUUAAAAAUCGAGGAAAUAGCCUAGCAAAGCCCUUUGGCCGUGAAAACCCCGAGGAGGAGCCAACCUUCCCGAAACGGAGGUUUCGGGGGCCGCCAAGCUGGGACCCUCCCCCCUGCCAUCGGCAUUUACCUGGAAAGGUGCAGCUGCCUGGAGGCUCCAUUCAAAGGGCCCUGCCUGAAGCCCCAAGUCCAGUCCCCUUGGUGAAGCCUGCAAGACCUGCCAAGAGAAGUUACAGCAGAGGCUACUAUUUACGUACCAGCCUCGUUAUCGGUAGGAGUUGCUCUGUCAUCCUGCGCUUUUUACAGGUGAGGAAACUGAGCCUCAGACAGGUUCAUCCAGCUGGUAAGUGGUGGAGCCAGGAUUCGAAACCAAGUCUUGGUGACUCCAAAGCUCAUGCCCUUUUCUCCGUCCUGCCGUCUCUUUCUCCAGCCUCGUUGCCCGUCACUCCUCACCGCCCUUGCUGAAUUACUGCACUCAUGUGCCUCGAGGUGCCUUGCAGCUGAAAACCUCCCAUCUUAUUACGUGGUGUUGCUUCUUGCAAGUGCGAUGCUCAGCUGCCCGCCCAGGAAACUCCAGUUCUUGUUCAGGCAUCUCGUCCUCGGUGGUGUCAUCCCUGACUUCCUUAAACACCUCGUGGUAAUGGAUCCCGCCUCCAGUUAACACUGUGCCUUUUGCAUACUUCUGUUACUCCAUCCAUCAUAUCACAGAGUCUUUAUUUCAUGACCAUCUGAGCCUCUGGAGGGUACCGCGUUUUAUUUGUCAUUGAUACCUUAUCCCCAGUUGCAGUACCUAGUGCUAACAUUUAUGGAGCAUCUUUCAAAGAUUCCCAUGGGUUAUCUCAUUUAACUUUCCUAAUAACUAUAUGAGACAUUAUUUUCCCCAUUUUCCAGAUGAGGAAAUUGAGAUUAAGGGAGCAGUGGCAGCUCCAGAAUUUUAAUCAAUAGGAGAAAUUUACAGUUCACCCUUAGGUUCCAGGGGUCCAGGACAUCUGUCCUAAAGCUGGUCUGCAUAACAAACACGUUUUUUUGUUUUUGUUUUUUUUUUAAAGAUUUAUUUUUUAUUUAUUUCCACCUCCCCCGCGUUGUCUGCUCUCUGUGUCCAUUCACUGUGUGUUCUUCUGUGACUGCUUCUAUCCUUAUCAGCAGCACAGGGAAUCUGUGUUUCUUUUUGUUGCAUCAUCUUGUGUGUCAGCUCUCCGUGUGGGCAGCGCCAUUCCUGGGCAGGCUGCACUUUCUUUCGCGCUGGGCGACUCUCCUUACAGGGCGCGCUCCUUGUGCGUGGGGCUCCCCUACGUGGGGGACACCCCUGCGUGGCACGGCACUCCUUGUGCGCAUCAGCACUGCGCAUGGGCCAGCUCCACAUGGGUCAAGGAGGCCCGGGGUUUUAACCUCGGACCUCCCAUGUGGUAGAUGGACACCCUAUCCACUGGGCCAAAGUCUGCUUCCCA